AUUGAACGCUGGCGGCAUGCCUUACACAUGCAAGUCGAACGGCAGCACGGGUGCUUGCCCCUGGUGGCGAGUGGCGAACGGGUGAGUAAUACAUCGGAACAUGUCCUGUAGUGGGGGAUAGCCCGGCGAAAGCCGGAUUAAUACCGCAUACGAUCCACGGAUGAAAGCGGGGGACCUUCGGUCUUCGCGCUAUAGGGUUGGCCGAUGGCUGAUUAGCUAGUUGGUGGGGUAAAGGCCUACCAAGGCGACGAUCAGUAGCUGGUCUGAGAGGACGACCAGCCACACUGGGACUGAGACACGGCCCAGACUCCUACGGGAGGCAGCAGUGGGGAAUUUUGGACAAUGGGCGAAAGCCUGAUCCAGCAAUGCCGCGUGUGUGAAGAAGGCCUUCGGGUUGUAAAGCACUUUUGUCCGGAAAGAAAUCCUUGACUCUAAUACAGUCGGGGGAUGACGGUACCGGAAGAAUAAGCACCGGCUAACUACGUG
RNAcentral lists this ribosomal RNA (486 nucleotides) under uncultured bacterium. Its description in RNAcentral is "partial 16S ribosomal RNA". It matches the Rfam family "Bacterial small subunit ribosomal RNA", at positions 30 to 507 of the family's 1533-position model. The record is from RNAcentral.